UGCGCAGGCGGCUUACUAAGUCAGUGGUGAAAUCUUGCGGCUUAACCGUAAAAUUGCCAUUGAUACUGGUAGGCUUGAAUUCAGUUGAGGUUGGCGGAAUGUGUAAUGUAGCGGUGAAAUGCUUAGAUAUUACACAGGACACCGAUUGCGAAGGCAGCUAGCUAAACUGAUAUUGACGCUGAGGCACGAAAGCGUGGGGAGCGAACAGGAUUAGAUACCCUGGUAGUCC
RNAcentral lists this ribosomal RNA (229 nucleotides) under uncultured bacterium. RNAcentral describes it as "partial 16S ribosomal RNA". It matches the Rfam family "Bacterial small subunit ribosomal RNA", at positions 568 to 796 of the family's 1533-position model. The record is from RNAcentral.